Molecule: ribosomal RNA, 137 nt
Filed under: Anoxybacillus flavithermus
Lineage: Bacteria; Bacillati; Bacillota; Bacilli; Caryophanales; Anoxybacillaceae
Description: partial 23S ribosomal RNA
Rfam family: Bacterial large subunit ribosomal RNA
Source: RNAcentral
AGCCCCCCUCAAGAUGAGAUUUCCCAUCGCGUCAAGCGAGUAAGAUCCCUUGAAGAUGACAAGGUAGAUAGGUCCGAGGUGGAAGCGUGGCGACACGUGCAGCUGACGGAUACUAAUCGAUCGAGGACUUAACUAAG